AAUGGUGGAGAUGACUUCCCCACACAGGAGUGGGUCCUUGGAACUUCCUCACAUGGACAGGAGGUUGUGGGGCCGGUGGAUUGAUAACCUCUGGCUCUGAAUCUGUACCAGAGUCAUCUCCCCCAUCCAAUUCUAUCGGCUCUUCGUCUUCUUCGGGAUCUUCUUCGACCCAUCCUCCAUUACCUUGGUUGGGNUAACCUCUGGCUCUGAAUCUGUACCAGAGUCAUCUCCCUCAUCCAAUUCUAUCGGCUCUUCGUCUUCUUCGGGAUCUUCUUCGAUCCAUCCUCCAUUACCUUGGUUGGGGUAGUAGGGGUCAUUGGGGUGGUGGAAUCCAGCCAUUGAGUCUGUACGAGAAUAGGGUUAAGAAUUUACUAUAUGCUAGAGCACAUGAAAUUUACCCUUAAGUUUAAUGGCUGAUGUCAACACAAAAACUCCCUUAGUAUUAUGUAAUGAUGUGCUUUUGGUAAGUUUUAAAAUUGUUGUCCACUGCAGACACUCCUUGGCACACGUUAGUCGACUCUCGGACAAAUAUAGUUGAUCAGGCUAUAUUCUUCCCAGUUCCGAUUACAUGUCCCAAGGCGUACCUGUACUGCACAACUUAUUUAUAAUACUUCUAAAAUUAUCCGAUAUGAAACUGUUAUUAGUAUGAAAUGAGUGCAUGCCUACUUUAAAAACUAAUUAAAUUUAAUUUCAAAAGUAUGACUCUUCUCAGAGUGUUUUUGCCCAGUUGAGUUUAUAGUUGUAUACCAAAAAGAAAUGGUUUUGAUAUACUUAAUUCCCUAUAAACAAAGCUCUGAUACCAAUCUGUCACACCCCCAAACCAGAACGGCGGAAACGUUCGGGGGCGGAGGACGUCAUAUUCAGUAUCAUAACAGUUCAUAGAAAGGAAAGUACACACCACCAUACAUAUAUAAAGGUUUUAAAAAUGUUUACAUCAUUGUAUUCAUUACAUGCUCAAAAGAUAAAUGCAUAAACAUCUUUCAAAAGAAGUAAUUAACGCCAGCGCGUUAAUCCCCAAAAGUUGAUUUCCAAACCUGCUUAACGGUUCCCUGAGA
This 1055-nucleotide long non-coding RNA is filed under the name Lactuca sativa (garden lettuce). Its description in RNAcentral is "long non-coding RNA (LSAT_LNC003032)". Lineage: Eukaryota; Viridiplantae; Streptophyta; Magnoliopsida; Asterales; Asteraceae. The record is from RNAcentral.